GGCACUUUGGCCGAGUGGUCUAAGGCGCCGUGUUCAGGCUUUGCGACGGACGCUUGUCCGACGCACCUAUUCGCGGUCUAGUAAUAGGCGAGGGUUCGAAUCCCUCAGGUGUCA
Molecule: non-coding RNA, 114 nt
Organism: Purpureocillium lavendulum
Lineage: Eukaryota; Fungi; Ascomycota; Sordariomycetes; Hypocreales; Ophiocordycipitaceae
Source: the annotation of a GenBank genome assembly